UACGAAGGGGGCUAGCGUUGCUCGGAAUCACUGGGCGUAAAGCGCACGUAGGCGGACUCUUAAGUCAGGGGUGAAAUCCUGGAGCUCAACUCCAGAACUGCCCUUGAUACUGGGAGCCUUGAGUUCGGGAGAGGUGAGUGGAACUGCGAGUGUAGAGGUGAAAUUCGUAGAUAUUCGCAAGAACACCAGUGGCGAAGGCGGCUCACUGGCCCGAUACUGACGCUGAGGAGCGAAAGCGUGGGGAGCGAACAGG
RNAcentral lists this ribosomal RNA (253 nucleotides) under uncultured bacterium. RNAcentral describes it as "partial 16S ribosomal RNA". It matches the Rfam family "Bacterial small subunit ribosomal RNA", at positions 524 to 776 of the family's 1533-position model. The record is from RNAcentral.